GUCCAGGAUAGCCUAGUGGACAUGGCAUCUACCCGGUAAACAGAACACUGUGGGUUCGAUUCCUAUCCUUGAACA
RNAcentral lists this transfer RNA (75 nucleotides) under Cordylochernes scorpioides. Its description in RNAcentral is "tRNA-Thr". It matches the Rfam family "tRNA". Rfam says of the family: Transfer RNA (tRNA) molecules are approximately 80 nucleotides in length. Their secondary structure includes four short double-helical elements and three loops (D, anti-codon, and T loops). Lineage: Eukaryota; Metazoa; Arthropoda; Arachnida; Pseudoscorpiones; Chernetidae. The record is from RNAcentral.